Molecule: long non-coding RNA, 408 nt
Organism: Cynoglossus semilaevis (tongue sole)
Lineage: Eukaryota; Metazoa; Chordata; Actinopteri; Pleuronectiformes; Cynoglossidae
Exons: 2
Source: RefSeq, a predicted model, not a curated record
ACGAAAACAAAGUUCACCUUGCAAGUGAUGUCGUUUGUCCUGCUCUCACCUCUUGUGGUUGUCCAUUAGACGACAUGACCUUAGUAAAUUUGUCUCGUACAUUCUGUACGGUUAUUUACCAUUUAGUCCCAGUAUGUGGAUAGUCUCACCUUAGUCCAUAAGUAAAGCAGAGGAGAUCCAGUAUGUACUGUAUGUACAACAAAACAUUUGUAAAGUGCCAUAUUUUUCUUUGAAACCCAGGUUCUUGAAGUUCAGACUUUUUAAACAACUGGUUUUGUAUGUGGUUAUUAUUAAUGUUUUUUCCAAAAUCUUUACUGAUCUCAAGGUUUUUGAUGGUGCACUUGUGCAAGUGUUCUUUUGGAUAAACGGUUAAAUAGUCAAUAUACACUGCUCAAAAAAAAAAAAAAA